Molecule: ribosomal RNA, 732 nt
Filed under: Staphylinidae sp. NZAC 03011149
Lineage: Eukaryota; Metazoa; Arthropoda; Insecta; Coleoptera; Staphylinidae
Description: eukaryotic LSU rRNA
Rfam family: Eukaryotic large subunit ribosomal RNA
Source: RNAcentral
GUGAAACCGUUUAGGGGUAAACCUGAGAAACCCGAAAGUUCGAACGGGGAGAUUCAGCGUGUCUCGGCAAGUACGAGUGCUGUGUGGUAGACGAUUGUCGUUCGCGGCGUUCGCUCCAUGCAUGCGCCGUUGCUUUACGAACGCGUGCACUUCUCCUCCAGUAGGACGUCGCGACCCGUUGGAUGUCGGUCUGAGGCUUGCGGUGGAGCCCGUUCGUCGUUUACGGCGUGCGGACCCGUAAUGUCCCGGCCGACUGUUCGACGGUAAGACUAAGGCGCAGAGCCGCGACUAGCUCGCGUCUGGCCCGAUGCAAGCGCGAUCGUUUACUCGUUCAUCGGACUUGUGCCGAUUUCGGGGCCGAUCGGCUGCUGGUGUCGGUGUUCCCGGACAGACUCUGUACACGCCUGUCAGCGGCGCUAUAGCUUUGGGUACUUUCAGGACCCGUCUUGAAACACGGACCAAGGAGUCUAGCAUGUACGCGAGUCAUUGGGAAUAUCUAAUCCUAAAGGCGUAAUGAAAGUGAAGGCAGAGCUUGGCUCGGCCAAGGGAAGAUGGGUGGUUUCGGCCGCCUCGCACUCCCGGGGUGUCUCAUUCUCAUUGCGAGGAGAGGCACACCUAGAGCGUACACGCUGGGACCCGAAAGAUGGUGAACUAUGCCUGGUCAGGACGAAGUCAGGGGAAACCCUGAUGGAGGUCCGUAGCGAUUCUGACGUGCAAAUCGAUCGUCGGAAC